UUGUUGGUAAGGUAAAAGCUUACCAAGGCUUCGAUCAGUAGCUGGUCUGAGAGGACGGCCAGCCACACUGGGACUGAGACACGGCCCAGACUCCUACGGGAGGCAGCAGUGGGGAAUUUUGGACAAUGGGGGCAACCCUGAUCCAGCCAUGCCGCGUGAGUGAAGAAGGCRUUCGGGUUGUAAAGCUCUUUCAGCCGGAACGAAACGGUUACGGUUAAUACCCGUGACUACUGACGGUACCGGAAGAAGAAGCACCGGCUAACUACGUGCCAGCAGCCGCGGUAAUACGUAGGGUGCGAGCGUUAAUCGGAAUUACUGGGCGUAAAGCGUGCGCAGGUGGUUUUGUAAGUCAGAUGUGAAAGCCCCGGGCUCAACCUGGGAACUGCGUUUGAAACUACAAGACUAGAGUGUGGCAGAGGGGGGUGGAAUUCCGCGUGUAGCAGUGAAAUGCGUAGAGAUGUGGAGGAACACCGAUGGCGAAGGCAGCCCCCUGGGUCAACACUGACGCUCAGGCACGAAAGCAUGGGGAGCAAACAGGAUUAGAUACCCUGGUAGUCCAUGCCCUAAACGAUGUCAACUAGUUGUCGGGCCUUUACGGGCUUGGUAACGUAGCUAACGCGUGAAGUUGACCGCCUGGGGAGUACGAUCGCAAGAUUAAAACUCAAAUGAAUUGACGGGGACCCGCACAAGCGGUGGAUUAUGUGGAUUAAUUCGAUGCAACGCGAAAAACCUUACCUACCCUUGACAUGUAUCGAAGCCCGCAGAAAAGCGGGGGUGCCCGAAAGGGAACGAUAACACAGGUGCUGCAUGGCUGUCGUCAGCUCGUGUCGUGAGAUGUUGGGUUAAGUCCCGCAACGAGCGCAACCCUUGUCAUUAAUUGCCAUCAUUUAGUUGGGCACUUUAAUGAGACUGCCGG
RNAcentral lists this ribosomal RNA (916 nucleotides) under uncultured bacterium. RNAcentral describes it as "bacterial SSU rRNA". It matches the Rfam family "Bacterial small subunit ribosomal RNA", at positions 246 to 1155 of the family's 1533-position model. The record is from RNAcentral.